AGCUUUGAUCCGGGGGUGUCCGAAUGGGGAAACCCAGCUGUGGUAAUUCGCAGUUACUCAUUUCUGAAUACAUAGGAAAUGUAGAGGCAGACCAGGGGAACUGAAACAUCUAAGUACCCUGAGGAAGAGAAAACAAUAGUGAUUCCGUCAGUAGCGGCGAGCGAACGCGGAACAGCCUAAACCAAGGGGCUUGCUCUUAGGGGUUGUGGGACGUCUCACAUGGAGUUACAAAGGAAUAUGGUAGGUGAAGAGGUCUGGAAAGGCCCGCGAUAGAGGUAAAAGCCCUGUAACCUAAACUGUAUUCUCUCCGAGACGGAUCCCGAGUAGUGCGGGGCACGUGAAACCCCGUAUGAAUCCAGCAGGACCAUCUGCUAAGGCUAAAUACUACCUGGCGACCGAUAGUGAAACAGUACCGUGAGGGAAAGGUGAAAAGCACCCCGGAAGGGGAGUGAAAUAGAACCUGAAACCGUGUGCUUACAAAAAGUCAGAGCCCGAUCUAUGGGUGAUGGCGUGCCUUUUGUAGAAUGAACCGGCGAGUUACGUUUAACAUGCAAGGUUAAGCCGAGAAGGUGGAGCCGCAGCGAAAGCGAGUCUGAAUAGGGCGAUUGAGUAUGUGGACGUAGACCCGAAACCGUGUGAUCUACCCCUGUCCAGGGUGAAGGUGCGGUAACACGCACUGGAGGCCCGAACCCACGUACGUUGAAAAGUGCGGGGAUGAGGUGGGGGUAGCGGAGAAAUUCCAAUCGAACUCGGAGAUAGCUGGUUCUCCCCGAAAUAGCUUUAGGGCUAGCCUCGGUAUAAGAGUAGUGGAGGUAGAGCACUGAUUGGGUGCGGGGUCCGCAAGGAUUACCAAGCUCAGUCAAACUCCGAAUGCCAUAUACUUAUUGCCGGGAGUCAGACAGUGAGUGCUAAGAUCCAUUGUCAAAAGGGAAACAGCCCAGACCAUCAGCUAAGGUCCCCAAGUGUGUGUUAAGUGGGAAAGGAUGUGGAGUUGCACAGACAACCAGGAUGUUGGCUUAGAAGCAGCCACCAUUGAAAGAGUGCGUAAUAGCUCACUGGUCGAGUGACUCUGCGCCGAAAAUGUAACGGGGCUAAACACACCACCGAAGCUAUGGCUAGAUACUAUGUAUCUGGGGUAGGGGAGCGUUGUGUAGGGGUUGAAGGUGUACUGAAAAGAGCGCUGGACACUACACAAGUGAGAAUGCCGGUAUGAGUAACGAAAAGAUCAGUGAGAAUCUGAUCCGCCGAAAGCCCAAGGUUUCCUGAGGAAGGCUCGUCCGCUCAGGGUAAGUCGGGACCUAAGGCGAGGCCGAAAGGCGUAGUCGAAGGACAACAGUUUGAAAUUACUGUACCACCGUAAUCCGCUAUGAGCGAUGGGGUGACGCAGGAGGGUAGUGACGCGGACUGAUGGAUGUCCGUCUAAGCAGUGAGGCUGAUGUGUAGGCAAAUCCGCACAUCGUUAAGGCUAGGCUGUGAUGGGGAGCGAAAAUUAUAGUAGCGAAGGUCAUGAUCUCACACUGCCAAGAAAAGCCUCUAGCCAGGAGAAGGUGCCCGUACCGCAAACCGACACAGGUAGGCGAGAAGAGAAUUCUAAGGCGCGCGGAAGAACUCUCGUUAAGGAACUCGGCAAAAUGACCCCGUAACUUCGGGAGAAGGGGUGCCCCGGUAGUGUGAAUAGCACGAGGGGGCCGCAGUGAAAAGGCCCAAGCGACUGUUUAGCAAAAACACAGGUCUGUGCGAAGCCGCAAGGCGAAGUAUACGGGCUGACGCCUGCCCGGUGCUGGAAGGUUAAGGGGAGUGGUUAGGGGUAACCCGAAGCUAUGAACCGAAGCCCCAGUAAACGGCGGCCGUAACUAUAACGGUCCUAAGGUAGCGAAAUUCCUUGUCAGGUAAAUUCUGACCCGCACGAAUGGCGUAACGACUUGGGCGCUGUCUCAACGAGAGAUCCGGUGAAAUUUUAAUACCUGUGAAGAUGCAGGUUACCCGCGACAAGACGGAAAGACCCCAUGGAGCUUUACUGCAGCUUGAUAUUGAAUUUGGGUACGAUCUGUACAGGAUAGGUGGGAGCCGUAGAAAUCGGAGCGCAAGCUUCGGUGGAGGCGCCGUUGGGAUACCACCCUGAUCGUAUCUAGGUUCUAACCUAGUACCCUAAUCGGGUACGGGGACCGUGUCAGGCGGGCAGUUUGACUGGGGCGGUCGCCUCCUAAAGAGUAACGGAGGCGUUCCAAGGUUCCCUCAGAAUGGUUGGAAAUCAUUCGCAGAGUGCAAAGGCAUAAGGGAGCUUGACUGCGAGACC
Molecule: ribosomal RNA, 2296 nt
Filed under: Paenibacillus odorifer
Lineage: Bacteria; Bacillati; Bacillota; Bacilli; Caryophanales; Paenibacillaceae
Description: bacterial LSU rRNA
Rfam family: Bacterial large subunit ribosomal RNA
Source: RNAcentral